This 253-nucleotide ribosomal RNA is filed under the name uncultured bacterium. RNAcentral's name for it is "partial 16S ribosomal RNA". It matches the Rfam family "Bacterial small subunit ribosomal RNA", at positions 524 to 776 of the family's 1533-position model. The record is from RNAcentral.
UACGUAGGGUGCAAGCGUUAAUCGGAAUUACUGGGCGUAAAGCGUGCGCGGGCGGUUAUGCAAGACAGAUGUGAAAUCCCCGGGCUCAACCUGGGAACUGCAUUUGUGACUGCAUGGCUGGAGUGCGGCAGAGGGGGAUGGAAUUCCGCGUGUAGCAGUGAAAUGCGUAGAUAUGCGGAGGAACACCGAUGGCGAAGGCAAUCCCCUGGGCCUGCACUGACGCUCAUGCACGAAAGCGUGGGGAGCAAACAGG